Molecule: ribosomal RNA, 522 nt
Filed under: Providencia rettgeri
Lineage: Bacteria; Pseudomonadati; Pseudomonadota; Gammaproteobacteria; Enterobacterales; Morganellaceae
Description: bacterial SSU rRNA
Rfam family: Bacterial small subunit ribosomal RNA
Source: RNAcentral
AGAGUUUGAUCCUGGCUCAGAUUGAACGCUGGCGGCAGGCCUAACACAUGCAAGUCGAGCGGUAACAGGGGAAGCUUGCUUCUCGCUGACGAGCGGCGGACGGGUGAGUAAUGUAUGGGGAUCUGCCCGAUAGAGGGGGAUAACUACUGGAAACGGUAGCUAAUACCGCAUAAUCUCUUAGGAGCAAAGCAGGGGAACUUCGGUCCUUGCGCUAUCGGAUGAACCCAUAUGGGAUUAGCUAGUAGGUGAGGUAAUGGCUCACCUAGGCGACGAUCCCUAGCUGGUCUGAGAGGAUGAUCAGCCACACUGGGACUGAGACACGGCCCAGACUCCUACGGGAGGCAGCAGUGGGGAAUAUUGCACAAUGGGCGCAAGCCUGAUGCAGCCAUGCCGCGUGUAUGAAGAAGGCCCUAGGGUUGUAAAGUACUUUCAGUCGGGAGGAAGGCGUUGAUGCUAAUAUCAUCAACGAUUGACGUUACCGACAGAAGAAGCACCGGCUAACUCCGUGCCAGCAGCCGCGGU